CAGCUGGCAAUUCUCUAUUCUCUAUUUUAACUUUACAAGAUCUACAUAUAAUGUUAGCACUCAUCAUAUCUCCUACUGGUGUCUUAACACAUAGUUCAGUAUUCAUAGGUUCAUAGAAUAUGCUAUGUUUUCUAACAAAGGUAGUGAAUAUAAAUGAAUAUGUAGUACCAGAAUCAAAUAAAAUAGAAGCAUAUAUAUCAGAUACUCGAAUAGUACCUGUCACCA
This 225-nucleotide long non-coding RNA is filed under the name Elaeis guineensis (African oil palm). RNAcentral's name for it is "long non-coding RNA (EGUI_LNC045553)". The record is from RNAcentral. Lineage: Eukaryota; Viridiplantae; Streptophyta; Magnoliopsida; Arecales; Arecaceae.